Molecule: ribosomal RNA, 292 nt
Filed under: uncultured bacterium
Lineage: Bacteria
Description: partial 16S ribosomal RNA
Rfam family: Bacterial small subunit ribosomal RNA
Source: RNAcentral
GUGUCAGCAGCCGCGGUAAUACAGAGGUCCCGAGCGUUGUUCGGAUUCACUGGGCGUAAAGGGUGCGUAGGUGGUGAGGUGUGUCGGAUGUGAAAUCUCGGAGCUCAACUCCGAAAUGGCAUUGGAAACUACCUUGCUGGAGGGUUGGAGGGGGGACUGGAAUACUUGGUGUAGCAGUGAAAUGCGUAGAUAUCAAGUGGAACACCGGUGGCGAAGGCGAGUCCCUGGACAAUUCCUGACACUGAGGCACGAAAGCUAGGGGAGCAAACAGGAUUAGAAACCCUUGUAGUCC